UAAUAAGUGUUUUAUGGCACUUUUUAAAUCCAUAUCCACCUUGUGUGCAAUGUCAGUCGAUCUUCUUCAUGGAGAUCGACCAAACAUCAACCUUUAUUUUUUAACUCUUUGUCUAAAAAAUAUUAUGAAUAAACAAUUCAAAAUA
Molecule: unclassified non-coding RNA, 145 nt
Filed under: soil metagenome
Description: partial internal transcribed spacer 1
Source: RNAcentral